Molecule: ribosomal RNA, 496 nt
Filed under: uncultured bacterium
Lineage: Bacteria
Description: partial 16S ribosomal RNA
Rfam family: Bacterial small subunit ribosomal RNA
Source: RNAcentral
AUGAACGCUGGCGGCGUGCCUAAUACAUGCAAGUCGAGCGAACAGACGAGGAGCUUGCUCCUCUGACGUUAGCGGCGGACGGGUGAGUAACACGUGGAUAACCUACCUAUAAGACUGGGAUAACUUCGGGAAACCGGAGCUAAUACCGGAUAAUAUAUUGAACCGCAUGGUUCAAUAGUGAAAGACGGUUUUGCUGUCACUUAUAGCUGGAUCCGCGCCGCAUUAGCUAGUUGGUAAGGUAACGGCUUACCAAGGCAACGAUGCGUAGCCGACCUGAGAGGGUGAUAGGCCACACUGGAACUGAGACACGGUCCAGACUCCUACGGGAGGCAGCAGUAGGGAAUCUUCCGCAAUGGGCGAAAGCUUGACGGAGAAACGCCGCGUGAGUGAUGAAGGUCUUCGGAUCGUAAAACUCUGUUAUUAGGGAAGAACAAAUGUGUAAGUAACUAUGCACGUCUUGACGGUACCUAAUCAGAAAGCCACGGCUAACUACGUG